AACCGGAUUAGAUACCCUGGUAGUCCAUGCCGUAAACGAUGAGUGCUAAGUGUUGGAGGGUUUCCGCCCUUCAGUGCUGCAGCUAACGCAUUAAGCACUCCGCCUGGGGAGUACGACCGCAAGGUUGAAACUCAAAGGAAUUGACGGGGGCCCGCACAAGCGGUGGAGCAUGUGGUUUAAUUCGAUGCUACGCGAAGAACCUUACCAGGUCUUGACAUCUUCUGCCAACCUAAGAGAUUAGGCGUUCCCUUCGGGGACAGAAUGACAGGUGGUGCAUGGUUGUCGUCAGCUCGUGUCGUGAGAUGUUGGGUUAAGUCCCGCAACGAGCGCAACCCUUAUUGUUAGUUGCCAGCAUUCAGUUGGGCACUCUAGCAAGACUGCCGGUGACAAACCGGAGGAAGGUGGGGAUGACGUCAAAUCAUCAUGCCCCUUAUGACCUGGGCUACACACGUGCUACAAUGGACGGUACAACGAGUCGCGAAACCGCGAGGUCAAGCUAAUCUCUUAAAGCCGUUCUCAGUUCGGAUUGUAGGCUGCAACUCGCCUACAUGAAGUUGGAAUCGCUAGUAAUCGUGGAUCAGCAUGCCACGGUGAAUACGUUCCCGGGCCUUGUACACACCGCCCGUCACACCAUGAGAGUUUGUAACACCCAAAGCCGGUGAGGUAACCUUCGGGGACCAGCCGUCUAAGGUGGGACAGAUGAUUAGGGUGAAGUCGUAACAAGGUAACC
This 730-nucleotide ribosomal RNA is filed under the name uncultured Lactobacillus sp. RNAcentral describes it as "bacterial SSU rRNA". It matches the Rfam family "Bacterial small subunit ribosomal RNA", at positions 771 to 1501 of the family's 1533-position model. Lineage: Bacteria; Bacillati; Bacillota; Bacilli; Lactobacillales; Lactobacillaceae. The record is from RNAcentral.